This 1862-nucleotide long non-coding RNA is filed under the name Sus scrofa (pig). Its description in RNAcentral is "lncRNA (ENSSSCG00015080811.1)". Lineage: Eukaryota; Metazoa; Chordata; Mammalia; Artiodactyla; Suidae. The record is from RNAcentral.
GAGCCACAUGUGUCCAGGUGCAGGUGAGAUGGACGGGCCUGGCUGUGGUCAUGGCUGCGGCUGGGAGGAGCUGAGCCAGUACGCACUGGGAAGCCUACAGAGCGCCACCUGACCCACCUUACAGGAGACAGUCUUGAAGAAGGCCUGUUAUCUUCAGCAGGUCACAGAGUGGUUAUCCCCAUGGGUGACCCCCAUUGCAACUGGCCAUCUGAAAAGUGCCUCUGGGAUCUGCUGCUUUCCAGAGACCUGGACCAGCCGAGGAGUGGAGAAUGAAAAGGAUGCUUGGGGAGGGACAACCAGGUUCAGUCCAGAGCCUGCCUCCUCCUGCCUUCUAGAGAAGGGCUGGGGUCCUGGGCUCUCCCUCUAGUACCUCAGAGCAGGGGCCUGGUGCCUCCUGUGGAGGAAGACAGCCAUACAUCCACCCUCAGCCCCCAGCUCCCAGCCCCCCACCGCUAGGCUUGGCCUGGGGCUGGCUGCAUCUCCUGUGCAUGCAGACCACCCAGGCCACAUCUGACCCCUUAGAAAUAAACAUGGAUUGAAAGGUCUCCUGUUGGAAUUCCCACUGUGGUGUAGUGGGUUAAGAAUUUGAGUUUAGGAGUUCCCGUCGUGGAACAGUGGAAACAAAUCUGAUUAGGAACUGUGAUGUUGUGGGUUUGAUCCCUGGCCUUAUUCAGUGGGUUAAGGAUUUGGCAUUGCCAUGAGCUGUGGUGUAGGGCGAAGACUCAGCUUGGAUCCUUUGUUGCUAUGGCUGCAGCAUAGGCCGGCAGCUGUAGCUCCAACUUGACCCCUAGCCUGGGAACCUCCAUAUGCCGGGUGCGGCCCUAAAAAAAAAAAAAAAAGAAUCUGAGUUUAGGAGUUCCUGUGAGGAUCAGCGGAAAGGAAUCUGACUAGCAUUCAUCAGGAUGCAGGUUCGAUCUCUGGUCUCAGUGGCUUAAGGAUCUAGUGUCGCUGUGAGCUGUGGCAUAGGUCGCAGACGCUCCUGGGAUCUGGUGUGGCUGUGGCUGUGACACAGGCUGGCGGCUACAGCUGCAAUUCAACCUGUAGCCUGGGAACCUCCCUAUCUCCCUAUGCUGUGGGUACGGCCCUAAAAAAAAAAAAAAAAGAAUCUGAGUUUAGUGGCUGGGGUCACCUCAGAGGUACAGGUUCAAUCCUUGGCCCAGCACGGUGGGUUAAAGGAUCUGGCAUUGCCACAGCUGCAGCAUAGGGUUGCAACUGUGGCUUGGAUUCAAUCCCUGGCCCAGGAACUUCCAUGUACCCUAAAGUGUGGCCAUAAAAUAAAAUAAAAUCUCAAAAAUUGUAAAUCAUAAAUAAAUUCAGAUGUAGAAUAAUGGAAAUAAAGACAAAAAUAAAUAUGACCUAAUUAAAAAAAAAAAAGGAGGGAGUUCCCAUCAUGGUUCAGCAGAAAUGAAUCUGACUAGCAUCCAGGAAGACGCAGGUUCAACCCCUGGCCUCGCUUAGUGGGUUAAGGAUGUGGCGUUGCCUUGAGCUGUGGUGUAGGUUGCAGAUGCGGCUUGGAUCUGGUGUUGCUGUGGCUGAGGAGUAGGCCAGCGGCUACAGCUCCUAUUCACCUCCUAGCCUGGGAACCUCCAUAUGCCCCAGGUAUGGCCCUUAAAAAAAAAAGGAGUUCCAGUUGUGGCUCAGCAGUAAGAACCCAGCUGAUAUCCUUGAGGACAUGGGUUCUAUACCUGGCCUCGCUCAGUGGGUUAAGGAUCCAGCGUUGCCAUUUGCUGUGGUAUAGGUUGCAGAUACUGUCUGGAUCUGGCAUGGCUGUGGCUGUGGUAUAGGGCAGCAGCUGCAGCUCUGAUUGGACCCCUAGCCUGGAACUUCCAUACGCUGCAGUGAGGCCCUAAAAAGACAAAAAA